CACUGGGUGUACUCAGUGGGGUCCAUUGUGGCCACAUACCCCUUUCUCUUCAUCAUCCAAUCUGCCUCAAAAGAUGCAGAAACGGCUUCGCAGGAGAAUUUCAAUCUAACAUCAACAGGAGAUUUGGAAGAUGAAUUGUGCAAGGAUCUCCUUCCUCUGAAGGAGUAUAGUUCAAAGGAUUGGGGGAAGAAAAUGAUGUUUCAUUGCUUCCCCCUGGGGCUGAGCGAGGCAAGGGGAGCUCUGCUCUUGGCUCCCUUGGGUGCUGAGGUUGAAGCUAGGGAAACGGUGUGCUCCAUGGACUAGGUAAGUUAUUUCCUACAGCUUUUCUGCCUCCCUCCCUCCAUGAUCCUGAAUGGAAGGCUGCUGGAAGAAACUGGUUGAUAUUUGCUGUGUUACAACAGCAUUUGCUAAUUGUUAAAUUAAAAGGGGGCUAUAAAGCGUGCUGAUGGUGGGCUUGGAGGGAAGGAAGGGGCAGUAGCUCUGGUGGCCAGGCAAGGAUGGCAGGGACAGUGUUGCUGUCCAGGCCCCUCUUCUUGCACCCUCACCUUCCUGGCUGGAUGCAGAUGUCAUUGCUCCCACCACCAACAUCCCCACCAACCUGGAGAAAUCCCAGCUGGGUGUCCACAGCUCUCUGAGUCACUGCCAAGGAUUCAGCCACUUGCUCCUGUUGCUGCUGCACCAGGUAUGUGCCACAACUCCUCCUCUUCUG
RNAcentral lists this long non-coding RNA (709 nucleotides) under Coturnix japonica (Japanese quail). Its description in RNAcentral is "lncRNA (ENSCJPG00005014136.1)". Lineage: Eukaryota; Metazoa; Chordata; Aves; Galliformes; Phasianidae. The record is from RNAcentral.